UUGUUUGUGCUCUAUUAUGCU
RNAcentral lists this non-coding RNA (21 nucleotides) under Arabidopsis thaliana (thale cress). Lineage: Eukaryota; Viridiplantae; Streptophyta; Magnoliopsida; Brassicales; Brassicaceae. The record is from RNAcentral.